GGAGAGGUGGCUGAGUGGACGAAAGCGAUUUCCUGCUAAGAAAUUAUACGGGCUUAAACCCGUAUCGAGGGUCCGAAUCCCUCCCUCUCCG
RNAcentral lists this transfer RNA (91 nucleotides) under bacterium. RNAcentral's name for it is "tRNA-Ser". It matches the Rfam family "tRNA". Rfam says of the family: Transfer RNA (tRNA) molecules are approximately 80 nucleotides in length. Their secondary structure includes four short double-helical elements and three loops (D, anti-codon, and T loops). The record is from RNAcentral.